Molecule: small nucleolar RNA, 138 nt
Filed under: Ornithorhynchus anatinus (platypus)
Lineage: Eukaryota; Metazoa; Chordata; Mammalia; Monotremata; Ornithorhynchidae
Source: RNAcentral
CACCUCUCAGGGUCAUACCUGGAGAGUUUCCAGGACUCUACUGGUCUCAACUUUGGGAGGUAGAGUCAAGCAGAGGCCUACCCAUUCCAUUCCUUGCUUAGGCAGUGGCUAGUGAGUGGAAGGCAAUCUGCUACAAAU